AUCACUAAGCGGAGGAAAAGAAACUAACAAGGAUUCCCCUAGUAACGGCGAGUGAAGCGGGAGAAGCCCAGCGCCGAAUCCCCUGCCCUAGCGGGUAGAGGGACCUGUGGCGUUUGGGAAGUCCAUUGGGUCGCGGCGCCGGGUCCGAGUUCCCAUGAUCGGGGCCCUCGCCCAAGGCGGGUGUCAGGCCCAUGCGGCUCGGCACCGCGAUCCUACGGACUUCUCCGGAGUCGGGUUGUUUGAGAUUGCAGCCCAAAGUGGGUGGUAAACUCCAUCUAAGGCUAAAUACUUACACGAGUCCGAUAGCGAACAAGUACCGUGAGGGAAAGUU
This 331-nucleotide ribosomal RNA is filed under the name Amphicteis gunneri. Its description in RNAcentral is "partial large subunit ribosomal RNA". It matches the Rfam family "Eukaryotic large subunit ribosomal RNA", at positions 42 to 365 of the family's 3401-position model. The record is from RNAcentral. Lineage: Eukaryota; Metazoa; Annelida; Polychaeta; Terebellida; Ampharetidae.